This 513-nucleotide ribosomal RNA is filed under the name uncultured bacterium. Its description in RNAcentral is "partial 16S ribosomal RNA". It matches the Rfam family "Bacterial small subunit ribosomal RNA", at positions 28 to 523 of the family's 1533-position model. The record is from RNAcentral.
GACGAACGCUGGCGGCGUGCCUAAUACAUGCAAGUUGAGCGCUGAAGGUUGGUACUUGUACCGACUGGAUGAGCAGCGAACGGGUGAGUAACGCGUGGGGAAUCUGCCUUUGAGCGGGGGACAACAUUUGGAAACGAAUGCUAAUACCGCAUAAAAACUUUAAACACAAGUUUUAAGUUUGAAAGAUGCAAUUGCAUCACUCAAAGAUGAUCCCGCGUUGUAUUAGCUAGUUGGCGAGGUAAAGGCUCACCAAGGCGAUGAUACAUAGCCGACCGGAGAGGGUGAUCAGCCACAUUGGGACUGAGACACGGCCCAAACUCCCACGGGAGGCAGCAGUAGGGAAUCUUCGGCAAUGGACGAAAGUCUGACCGAGCAACGCCGCGUGAGUGAAGAAGGUUUUCGGAUCGUAAAACUCUGUUGGUAGAGAAGAACGUUGGUGAGAGUGGAAAGCUCAUCAAGUGACGGUAACUACCCAGAAAGGGACGGCUAACUACGUGCCAGCAGCCGCCGUAA